RNAcentral lists this transfer RNA (69 nucleotides) under Urocitellus parryii (Arctic ground squirrel). RNAcentral's name for it is "Spermophilus parryii (Arctic ground squirrel) tRNA". It matches the Rfam family "tRNA". Rfam says of the family: Transfer RNA (tRNA) molecules are approximately 80 nucleotides in length. The record is from Rfam by way of RNAcentral. Lineage: Eukaryota; Metazoa; Chordata; Mammalia; Rodentia; Sciuridae. RNAcentral also lists the same sequence under 2 other names.
GGGGAUGUGGCUCAGUGGUACAGCACUUGCUCACAUGUGAGGCACUGGGUUCAAUUCCCAGUACUGCCA